GUCUGGUUGAGUCACUUACCCCCCUACUUUCACAUCCUCUAUCCACACCUGCACAUUUGGGUGGCGACCACACAUGCACUUCCUGUUUGUACAGAAAUUGCCAUUCAGACAGUUGCGGGUGAGAAUAGAGCUCCACAAGGGCUUGGAAGAAAGAAGUUGAACAACUUAUUUGGGCCAGAAAGAAGAGGCCUGUGUGAGUUAAGAGUAUUCCCAGGGGCUCAAGGAUUUCUCUUUCCAAAUGCUGAGGAAAUUGCAGGAGCCAAAAGACCAAUAUGUAUUGGACCAGCAAAAACAAUGGAAAGAAUGACUUCAGACUGAAUGCUUACUACAGGCUGGAGAUGUGCUAGAAAGGUGGUCCGGAGCUGAUACAAUGAUGUGAGGACAUCAUCAAGGACCUCUUCUUUGAACUUCAGAUCUGCCAGUGUUUCCUCUUGAGGUCCACAAAGCUGCUCCUCCUCAGGCCUCAAACAGCAUCCUGGAUGGGAAGACAGAAGUGACCUAGAUGAAGGAAUGGUAUACAUCCCAGCCAGUUUCCAGCCAUUAACAGGGAGGAUCUCUCCAGUGACCCUAGCUCCUUGGGCCCCAGAAUGUACUCCAGUGCUCUAGGACAGCAGGCAAGCAAAGAAGAGGCUCCAGAGUGCUGAAGUUCUCAGCCAGAGGAGACUGUCAGAGAGCCCAAGGCAGAGAUGGUCCCUAUGCCCCAUGUUUCCAUGGAAACGUAGGAGGAGUGAUGACAGCCAGCAC
This 744-nucleotide long non-coding RNA is filed under the name Heterocephalus glaber (naked mole-rat). Its description in RNAcentral is "lncRNA (ENSHGLG00000039739.1)". The record is from RNAcentral. Lineage: Eukaryota; Metazoa; Chordata; Mammalia; Rodentia; Bathyergidae.